Molecule: non-coding RNA, 31 nt
Filed under: Sclerotinia trifoliorum
Lineage: Eukaryota; Fungi; Ascomycota; Leotiomycetes; Helotiales; Sclerotiniaceae
Source: RNAcentral
AUUUCAUGAAGUUUAUUAUUAGCUCUAUCUG